GUUAUUGUAGCUUAAUAUAAAGCAUGGCACUGAAGACGCCAAGAUGGAUAUUAACAAACCCGAAUAACA
This 69-nucleotide transfer RNA is filed under the name Pelodiscus sinensis (Chinese soft-shelled turtle). Its description in RNAcentral is "tRNA-Phe". Lineage: Eukaryota; Metazoa; Chordata; Testudines; Trionychidae. The record is from RNAcentral.